GUGGGGAAUUUUGGACAAUGGGGGAAACCCUGAUCCAGCCAUCCCGCGUGUAUGAUGAAGGCCUUCGGGUUGUAAAGUACUUUUGGCAGAGAAGAAAAGGUAUCCCCUAAUACGGGAUACUGCUGACGGUAUCUGCAGAAUAAGCACCGGCUAACUACGUGCCAGCAGCCGCGGUAAUACGUAGGGUGCAAGCGUUAAUCGGAAUUACUGGGCGUAAAGCGUGUGUAGGCGGUUCGGAAAGAAAGAUGUGAAAUCCCAGGGCUCAACCUUGGAACUGCAUUUUUAACUGCCGAGCUAGAGUAUGUCAGAGGGGGGUAGAAUUCCACGUGUAGCAGUGAAAUGCGUAGAUAUGUGGAGGAAUACCGAUGGCGAAGGCAGCCCCCUGGGAUAAUACUGACGCUCAGACACGAAAGCGUGGGGAGCAAACAGGAUUAGAAACCCUAGUAGUCCC
This 451-nucleotide ribosomal RNA is filed under the name uncultured bacterium. RNAcentral's name for it is "bacterial SSU rRNA". It matches the Rfam family "Bacterial small subunit ribosomal RNA", at positions 354 to 797 of the family's 1533-position model. The record is from RNAcentral.